GUCCCGAGUGGCUGGUAUUCUCAUGGGGGAGACGCUUUCUGCUUCCUUAAAGGAAAUUCUUGAACACUUCCCUACAUCUGUGAAGAGGCAAGCCCGAGUCAAUCCCCUCUGAAUCACCGCAGCAAAUGUUCUCCUGGGAGUUGAAGUGGUCAAGCUAUUGCCAGCCUUUGUCCUCAUCCUCCUGUCUGAAACAAGGGCGGCCCUCCAGCCAGCCAUUGUCUAAAGAGCUUCAUGUAAAGAAACGCCGAAGAAAAGAGAUGAAGUUGGCGAAGGUGACCCAUUUCUUCCCUAGUGGGCCGACCCGGGCUCUGCGUCCUGCAAGAGCUGUUCCCUUUCCGGAACCGCGUUUUCCUGCGGGAAGGAUGUAGGGACCGGGGCACUGUCCUUGGAAUCCGGAGGCCGGCUGCAGGCGGACACCACCACUUACCAGCGGCGUGACUUUACGCAAGUCGCUUUGGCUUUCCUAGCGCCGAUCCCGGAGUGGUUGGCUUGACUUGGUUCCAC
RNAcentral lists this long non-coding RNA (504 nucleotides) under Vulpes vulpes (red fox). RNAcentral's name for it is "lncRNA (ENSVVUG00000008789.1)". Lineage: Eukaryota; Metazoa; Chordata; Mammalia; Carnivora; Canidae. The record is from RNAcentral.